AUGAAGCUGAGGGUGACC
This 18-nucleotide unclassified non-coding RNA is filed under the name Chlamydomonas reinhardtii. Its description in RNAcentral is "small RNA Cre_0712". The record is from RNAcentral. Lineage: Eukaryota; Viridiplantae; Chlorophyta; Chlorophyceae; Chlamydomonadales; Chlamydomonadaceae.